This 178-nucleotide long non-coding RNA is filed under the name Chloebia gouldiae (Gouldian finch). RNAcentral's name for it is "Erythrura gouldiae (Gouldian finch) lncRNA (ENSEGOG00005009512.1)". Lineage: Eukaryota; Metazoa; Chordata; Aves; Passeriformes; Passeridae. The record is from RNAcentral.
AGCAGUUCUUGGUCAGGUGCUACAGCUGCAGAGCUCUUCACUUACCGUCUUACAGGAAGAAAAUACAUGAGGAUCACAUCACAGCCAAGAUCCCAAGAAGUAGGUGAGUGAAACAAAGAGGGGAGGAAGUUCAUUGCCCCAUGAACAAAGUCUGGGACACCAGAUUUUUUUAACUGUA